This 539-nucleotide ribosomal RNA is filed under the name Fusarium solani. RNAcentral describes it as "eukaryotic LSU rRNA". The stretch from base 139 to 292 matches the Rfam family "5.8S ribosomal RNA". The record is from RNAcentral. Lineage: Eukaryota; Fungi; Ascomycota; Sordariomycetes; Hypocreales; Nectriaceae.
CACUCAUCACCCCUGUGACAUACCUAAACGUUGCUUCGGCGGGAACAGACGGCCCCGUGAAACGGGCCGCCCCCGCCAGAGGACCCCUAACUCUGUUUCUAUAAUGUUUCUUCUGAGUAAAACAAGCAAAUAAAUUAAAACUUUCAACAACGGAUCUCUUGGCUCUGGCAUCGAUGAAGAACGCAGCGAAAUGCGAUAAGUAAUGUGAAUUGCAGAAUUCAGUGAAUCAUCGAAUCUUUGAACGCACAUUGCGCCCGCCAGUAUUCUGGCGGGCAUGCCUGUUCGAGCGUCAUUACAACCCUCAGGCCCCCGGGCCUGGCGUUGGGGAUCGGCGGAGCCCCCCGUGGGCACACGCCGUCCCCCAAAUACAGUGGCGGUCCCGCCGCAGCUUCCAUCGCGUAGUAGCUAACACCUCGCGACUGGAGAGCGGCGCGGCCACGCCGUAAAACACCCAACUCUUCUGAAGUUGACCUCGAAUCAGGUAGGAAUACCCGCUGAACUUAAGCAUAUCAAUAAGCGGAGGAAAAGAAACUCCGCCA